AUGAAAAGAGGCAUACCUGCUUCACCAACUCCCACAAAGGGGGAGGCAUCAAGCUCAAAAAUUAUAAAGAAGGAAGAAUCCCCAAAAUAUAAGACAUAUCAAGAAUGCCUUCUAAAGGGGCUUGACCCUUUAGACAGUGAAUACAUAGAUCAAGAAAUGGAUAAAAGGUUUGAAGAAUUUUCAAAGAUAACAAAGAAAGAAUUAAAGGAGGAAAUAUUAAAAGAAUUAAGGCAAGAAAUGGAUGAAAAAUUUGAGGAAAUAAAGAAAGAAUAUGAUGAAAAAUAUGAUUUCAAUCUGAUAAAUGAUGAUGAUCAUAUGGACAUAGCAGGGCAUGGGCAGCGGCCAGAAUAA
RNAcentral lists this ribosomal RNA (351 nucleotides) under Triticum aestivum (bread wheat). Its description in RNAcentral is "partial small subunit ribosomal RNA". The record is from RNAcentral. Lineage: Eukaryota; Viridiplantae; Streptophyta; Magnoliopsida; Poales; Poaceae.